This 1507-nucleotide long non-coding RNA is filed under the name Nicotiana benthamiana. RNAcentral describes it as "long non-coding RNA (NBEN_LNC033150)". Lineage: Eukaryota; Viridiplantae; Streptophyta; Magnoliopsida; Solanales; Solanaceae. The record is from RNAcentral.
AUUUCCACCAGACUUCAAAUUCACAAGAGGAUUUCCAUCGGACUUCAAAUUCACCAAAGGAAGGAGGAGUGCAGCACAUGUUGAAGUGCAUGGGUAUACAAACCAUGCUGGAACUCAGAGUAGUGCUGACAAUUCUCAAGGGGUUUCUGAUUCAGAGUCUCUAAUACCUGGUUUAAGCAAAGACCAAUAUUCCCAGCUUAUGUUGCUGCUUCAGCAGACACAGCUUGCAGAGUCUAAGCAGCAGUCCAGCCUUAUGGCCUCAGCCAACUUUGCUGGUAAUUUUUCUCCAACCACUCAUUUAAAGAAUGUUUCCUAUGGGGCUUGCAUGCUAACCAAAGUAAGUGAUUGCAUCUGGAUUAUAGACUCUGGUGCCACUGAAGCUUGCAUGCUAACCAAAGUAAGUGAUUGCAUCUGGAUUAUAGACUCUGGUGCCAUUGACCACAUGACAUCUAAUAAAGAACUUCUAUUUGACAUUAAGCCUCUAGUAAUACCAUACCUAGUUACCUUGCCCAAUGGUUAUAAGGUUAAGGUAACAUGCACUGGCUCAAUCCAAUUCCUUUGUUUCACUCUUCAUCAUGUCCUUUACAUUCCUAGUUUUCACUACAAUCUCAUUUUUGUGUCCAAACUUGUAUGCCAGUUGAAUUCUAUUGUCCUAUUUACCAAAUUCUCUUGUUUAAUACAGGCCCCUUCUCUGAAGAGGCCACUGGAGAUUGGUAAAUUGGAUNNNNNNNNNNNNNNNNNNNNNNNNNNNNNNNNNNNNNNNNNNNNNNNACCUCUAAAGAGGCCACUGGAGAUUGGUAAAUUGGAUGAUGGUCUUUACAGGCUUGUACAAUCUUCUUUUUUUAAAUCUCUUGAUCCUUGUAAAUACCAUGCUCCAUGACCUGUUGAUUCUGUUUCUUCUUCUCAUUGUACAUACCAUUCUGAAUUGAAUAAAAUGGAGAUAAUACCAUGCUCCAUUACCUGUUGAUUCUGUUUCUUCUUCUCAUUGUACAUACCAUUUUGAAUUGAAUAAAAUGGAGAUGUUAUGGCAUAAUAGACUAGGGCAUAUACCUUUUGUUAGGAUGAAAGACAUGCCUUCUGUACCAUGUAAAUUUUCCACAAAGCAGCCUUUUCUCUGUACUAUAUGUCCUUUGGCCAGGCAAUCUAGACUACCCUUUCCUGACAGUUCAAUUAAAACAACACAUGCUUUUCAACUAAUCCAUGUUGAUACAUGGGGUCCCUGUGCCACUUCUGCUCAUAGUGGUUGUAGAUAUAUUUUAACAAUAGUUGAUGAUUUUACCAGAGCUAGUUGGACCCACCUUAUGGGGUCCAAGAGUAAUACCUUUUUCCCUCGUUAAAGCCUCAUUGCCAUGGUUACAACUCAAUUCCAGUCUGUGGUACAAACCAUUAGAAGUGAUAAUGCAUUUGAACUUGGUUCUAGUGGUUGUGGCAGCAACUUCUUUGCUGAACAUGGCAUAAUACAUCAAACUUCUUGCUCUCACACACCACAACAAAAUGGUGUUGUUGA